AACGAACGCUGGCGGCAUGCCUAACACAUGCAAGUCGAACGAGACCUUCGGGUCUAGUGGCGCACGGGUGCGUAACGCGUGGGAACCUGCCUUUAGGUUCGGAAUAACUCAGAGAAAUUUGAGCUAAUACCGGAUAAUGUCUUCGGACCAAAGAUUUAUCGCCUUUAGAUGGGCCCGCGUUGGAUUAGCUAGUUGGUGGGGUAAAGGCCUACCAAGGCGACGAUCGAUAGCUGGUCUGAGAGGAUGAUCAGCCACACUGGGACUGAGACACGGCCCAGACUCCUACGGGAGGCAGCAGUGGGGAAUAUUGGACAAUGGGGCGAAAGCCUGAUCCAGCAA
RNAcentral lists this ribosomal RNA (339 nucleotides) under uncultured bacterium. RNAcentral describes it as "bacterial SSU rRNA". It matches the Rfam family "Bacterial small subunit ribosomal RNA", at positions 29 to 394 of the family's 1533-position model. The record is from RNAcentral.